This 257-nucleotide ribosomal RNA is filed under the name uncultured bacterium. Its description in RNAcentral is "partial 16S ribosomal RNA". It matches the Rfam family "Bacterial small subunit ribosomal RNA", at positions 524 to 776 of the family's 1533-position model. The record is from RNAcentral.
UACGUAGGAUGCAAGCGUUGUCCGGAUUUACUGGGCGUAAAGCGCGCGCAGGCGGCACACCAAGUACCCCCAUGAAAUCUCCUUGCUCAACGGGGAGGGUGUGGGGGUAGACUGGUGAGCUAGAGGACGGUAGAGGGGGGGUAGAAUUGCUGGUGUAGCGGUGAAAUGCGUAGAGAUCAGCAGGAAUACCCGUGGCGAAGGCGGCCCCCCUGGGCCGUACCUGACGCUGAGGCGCGAAGGCUAGGGGAGCGAACGGG